CUGUAUAUGUUGUGUGCAUAUCGUCUGUAUAUGUCGGUACGAGGCCUUUGCUCACUACACUGUUGUCUUGCUUGUGUAGAUCCCAACAUAAAUAUGUAAUAUACAUCGGCUGCAUCUGGCAGGCAGUGCAGACUAGACACAGACUGAAGGCUUUCCGGGCCUGUGUGUUGGAAGCUGCUAUUCCCAAGCGUGUAGAAUCAGCCCCCCCCCGAACCCCAGAGGAUUCAGCCCUGGCACUGACGGAACCCACUCAUGUCACUAAUUUCUAAAUAUAGCCUCGUUUUUUUUUGGUCUUCCCCCAUUUUGUGUGUCUUUCAAGCAGCAGUUUGUCCCAGUCUUGUUCGCCGUACAUGUCUCCUCGCAUGCGUGUCUCUUCAUACAGUAUGUGUGUCGAACCGUCCCAGUUUGACCACCAAAAGUUGUCCUUCAUCAAUGUGGAAAGUAGAGUGAAGUUACAGAGGUAUCGACUGACAUGGUUUAAUUUUCCAUUCCAACUACGGUUGGUUCUAUUAGAUUUUUCCGUAGGGUUAUCUUGAAUAAUCAUUGUGCUAUUUUGAAUUACCAUUGAAUUGAUACUGAAUGAAAGAAGAAAUCACAUUGUUUUAGUCGACUGUUAGAAGUGUAGUAUCAUUGCAUCCUUGCAUCAUAUCUGGCUAGCCAAUGAUGUCGUUGCUUUGUGUUUAACUGCGGCUUGGACAGAUUUCAAUCGACACAUCAAGCCUGUCUGCCGGUUCGCCCUGGAGAGGGAGCGAUGGGGGAAUUAAGAGAAACAGAGACAUACAGCAUGUUGAAAUCAAGCUGAGAAUUGGGACGGAACGCAGAAAUGGGCUAGGUGGUUUGGGCUCGGCGGAGGUUGAAUCCCACUGGGCAAUCCUCUAAUUAGUUCUCGCUAGCCCAAGGCAGUUCAUUGCCACCGGCUUCGAAGCAUGCUGAGCUCCUACAAGGCCUCCUAAUAAAAUGAUUGACCGCUCUGGCAUGGAAACUGAUGAUAGCACUGUCAUAAGCAUAGCACUUGUAUUUAAUUACCUCCCGGGUUUUACCAUUCACACUAAACGUCUGUGUGAAUAAAGAUCGAUAAUUGGCAUUCUCGGUUCCAAACACGUUAACGUGAUCCAUCCUGGAGUCUAUCUAAAGCCGGCUGUGCCCCUCUACUUUGGAAAGGUCCUCAGUCAACGAAGGAUUAAGUUGUUUAUCACCUCAGUGUUUCAUGCCUUCAUCCCCCACCUUUAAUUGCCAUGGUCGACUUAUACCUCAAGAGGAACGUUAUCACCACAAGGAAGAAGAACGCACACAAAAACAAAGAGCAGAACGAGUUUGUAGAUCGGCUUUAUCACAGAAACGGAUGGAUUCAUAGAAUGUGCUUAUUUUAUUUUAUUGUCUCGUGAGUGAUCGUUCAUUCCAUGGCGGGCUGUGAGUAGAAGAACAGCAUUUGUCCUUUGUCUUCCCUCUAAUUGGCCAGCAAGGGAAAUCAGCCAUUGAAAUGGUGUCACAGAGAAUGUAUACUACCCCGAUGAGGUGGUUGUUUCAGGAACUUGUCUGGGGCGACAUUCACAACAAAUACUGCCGUCUAGCAGCACUCAUUUUCCCUUGUUUUAUCCCAGAGGAGAAAGACACAGUAGUUACGAAGAUGACACCUCAAAACAGAAGAAAAUGUGCAAAAAACAACAAGUCCCCAUCCCUCACAAAGUCUAUUUUUCACUCACUACGAGCCAAGCCAACGCAUGCGUCCAAUAUCCUGAAUUGAGGUAUUCCACUGAUGUUUCAUGACAUUAUCGUACAUAUUAGUUUCUUCUUCUGUUGUUACAGCAGCAGAGCCAGAGCUGACCUUGCCGUGAUGAGUGCUGCGCUGGUCACGAUCGCAGCUUCGUUAAGACAAUCACGAGGGGGCGGGGGCGAUGGAUGGGCCAUGCUAACGUGAGGUGGUACAAAGUACGUGUUGGGAUGUCUAAAUACACGGCUUUAAAUAUCCAAGUGACAAGGCCUCUGGUGAACUGCAGCCCCCCUCCUUAUCAAUGAGGUGGCCUCAUUAAUUCAGGUUGUUUUCACACCUUGCACACUCAUAUCACACGUUUUAUUAACAGAGUAUAGGUUUUCCUUCCCUAGACUUUCUUCCAUUCGAUAUUAGGAGCCAGGAAUAUACCCAAUACAUUUCUGGUGAUUGUUAUAGUAAUGCACAGGGAGCGAACAUGUUUUGGUGUUUUAUUCUGCCAUCCUGCUGCAGGUGUUUGAUUCACUUUUGAUACACAGGCAUAUAACCAGCGCGUGACAGUUCUGCUCGCCCAAACCAGACCCUGCAUGUCCUUGAGAUGUUUUCCUCAAACGUGGUGUUAUCAUAUACCCCCGCAAUCUCUCAAACAUCGCUAUAUGUAACGGGGUGUGUGUCAGCGCAACAAGCGGGAUAACAAUGAUUGAAAAUGCUGUCAUGCAUGCUGUCAUAAAAGAUAAAAACAUCAGCAUAUAUCAAUAAAUCCAAUGAUUAAUUAUGCUA
Gadus macrocephalus (Pacific cod) is the source of this 2488-nucleotide long non-coding RNA. RefSeq lists it as uncharacterized. The transcript has 2 exons. Lineage: Eukaryota; Metazoa; Chordata; Actinopteri; Gadiformes; Gadidae. The record is from RefSeq and is a predicted model, not a curated record.